GUCUAUGGCCAUACUACCCUGAACAAGCCCAAUUCCAUCUGAUUUUGGAAGCUAAGCAGAGUAGGUCCUGGUUAGUACUUGGAUGGGAGACUACCUAGGAAGACCAGCUGCUGUAUGUG
Molecule: ribosomal RNA, 119 nt
Organism: Pteropus vampyrus (large flying fox)
Lineage: Eukaryota; Metazoa; Chordata; Mammalia; Chiroptera; Pteropodidae
Source: Ensembl